CUUCCGGGUACUUUGACUGUUUCAAGAUACAGGUAUACCUUACCGAAGAGAAAGGGGAAAAACACCCUAAGUCACUCAAAAGAGAACCAGAACGGCAGCCACCACAUGUGUUUUAAAUCUAUUACCCACACAAUUAAGAAUACAGUAUUAUAAACCAGCUCUAUAAAUCUUAUAAUAAACACGGUAGCACACCAACCCUCUACUUAGCUAUAGAGAGGCUCUUAACAACUCUCUAGAUUCCGUGGCGAUGCGGCUUUGGGAUUGACUUAAUAUUCCACAGGAAGAACGUUUAACUGGAUGAAAUAAAUCAGAGCACAUCCCUCCUGCGUACCAAAAAGGAAAAGGAAAAAGAAAAUCUUCUUAAGAGGCAAAAAAGCAGCACAGUGCGUGCCUGGCUUCAGUCUUCCCGAAAAGCCUUCAGAUUUUUAUUUCCAUUUAAAAGUGCUAAGAAAACUGAAUGUGCAGACAGGGCUUGAGGCAUUGUUCUGCGGGAACACCCUGGAGAGCCUCUGCCUUUCAACCUCGGUCCUAACCUCACCGGCAGAGGGAGGCGAGGUCUGUGUGGACGUAAAGAAUUGUCAAGUGUAGGAGUUCCCGUCGUGGCGCAGUGGUUAACGAAUCCGACUAGGAACCAUGAGCCACAACGGGAACUCCUCAAGACAUUCAAUUUUAUGUUUAAUUUGUUUCAAAUACCCUGUUUCCAUGCGGUUCUUGGCAAAGAUGAGAGCAUAUCCCUUACAGGAGAGAUGAGGGUGCUGGAAACCAUCGGACCCCGCAAAUCCCGACUCUGGUCGCGAGUGAGUCGUUAAGCUUCCCAAGCCUCAAUGCCAGACGGAAUUACAAUCAUUUACUUUGCCAUCUCUCCGACCAGAUGCUGACUUCUGCAGAGCGGGAAUUUCUCAUGUUCAUCUACCAUCAAAGCCUAGUGCCUGGAGCGUGGCAGGUACUUGAGCCACGAGUGUCAGGUGACUGAGUGGUUGGGUGUGCCAUCUGACGGUGAGUGACUGCUCCAUCGACACUGCAGGGCCACUAUGUGGGGAAAUGGGCUAAGAUGUGAAAACACACCUGUUAUGUUACCUACUAAAAGAUGUUAAAUGUUAUUAUUUUAUUUGAAACAUUCCAAGUAGAAUAUUCACUUAUGAAAAUCUGACCCUGCCUUUAACCUUUGCUAAGGGAUUGAGUGACGCAUUUUUUUCUUUCUUAUUAUGCUAAGUUUC
RNAcentral lists this long non-coding RNA (1217 nucleotides) under Sus scrofa (pig). RNAcentral describes it as "lncRNA (ENSSSCG00050043018.1)". Lineage: Eukaryota; Metazoa; Chordata; Mammalia; Artiodactyla; Suidae. The record is from RNAcentral.